RNAcentral lists this long non-coding RNA (968 nucleotides) under Astyanax mexicanus (Mexican tetra). Its description in RNAcentral is "lncRNA (ENSAMXG00005020886.1)". The record is from RNAcentral. Lineage: Eukaryota; Metazoa; Chordata; Actinopteri; Characiformes; Acestrorhamphidae.
CGAUGGUUAGUUAUUAUCGUUAAUUUGUGUUUUUAGCCCCAAAUUGUAUUGACCCUCAUUAAUUGUGGACUCCCUCGCGGGCUCCCUCUAGCGGUGUGCAGUAAUUCUCUGAUACAGCGGGGCAGAUGGGGAGUGUGUAGUCUCUCUAUAAACCGGUUCUGUCUCGAUUCAGCCGCGUGAGUAAAGCAAUUAUUUGGAAAUUGACUCCUUCAGUUCAGCGUUCACAACAAAUAUAAACGCGUUCAGUGAGCGGAGAUUGGUGCUUAGUGAUAAUUUAGUGUUUAGAGUUCAUUUGACAUGAUAUUGGUAAAAUAAGAUGAAUGUCACCCUUGUAGAGUUUAGUUUUUUCAUGUUUUAAAGGAAACAACAUCAGUUCCAGCUUCCUCCACGAGAUGGCCGUGUAUGCCUAAAAGAACUGCAUCCAAGAACUGAAGCACAGGACAGAUUUGUCCAUCCAUUUAUCUAUCCAUGCAUCUAUCCAGCAAUCUUCUUAUCAACUUCUAACUGUUGGAGUUGCAGUUGGUCUGGAGCCUACCCAGAAUUAUUGAGCACAAUGCAGGAAGACCCCAGGCAGAAUAAACUCCUGACACAACUCAUAUUUUUGUUUUUUUGGGAAUGACUUGGGACCUAACCACAGAUCUCAUUGAUAAAAAGCACUUUAGUCGUCUAGUGGUUGAGUUUGAGGUUUAACUCAAAGACAUGACUGCGGGGCAGACGUGGCAGGGAGCCAAAUUGCUGGAGCCAUCACAGGUGCAGGAGAAGAAGCAGCAUUUGUAGAACGGGCCAUAACAUCCUCUGUUUGUCACCUAUUCCCUGCAACAAUGCCCCAGCCUCAGCACAGGCUGCCAUGGAUGUCAUAUCUGGGUUCCACCGGAGGAGCCUUUGUAGUUCCUUCUUUGUAGUUUUGUGGGGACUACUUCCAGCCUCAUGGGCCAGCUCUGAAUAAAGAAACGAGGCAGGAGGUGGCA